Long non-coding RNA from Ornithodoros turicata, 184 nucleotides. RefSeq lists it as uncharacterized. The record is from RefSeq and is a predicted model, not a curated record. NCBI's taxonomy places the organism in Eukaryota, Metazoa, Arthropoda, Arachnida, Ixodida, Argasidae. The transcript has 3 exons.
UGAUACACCAACCACUGCAAACCUGGACCGGCUGUCACCACCCACCCUUGGAGGUGCCGACAUUUGCUCCCAGUCACCUGUGUUGGCUCCUGAUUCAUUGGGUUCAUCUGCAGCUACACCAAGAAUACACAGGGGAGGCAGACCCAACAUUGUGAGGACUCCAAGGACCACUUCUCUAAUUCAG